ACUUAUGAUUGUUGGUACGUAUCUAAAGUGCGUUUUGAUCAAGAUAACCUUUUCAGUUGCCAGGCAGAUGGGCAGUCUGCUCUUAAGAAGAUUAAACUAUAUUCUAAUAUGGCCACAGAGAUGGUGCGCUCGUGGUUUUCCGGUAGGAUAAGGAACAAGUAUUGGAAAUGGGAAACCAUAGCCAGUCUCGUGGCUGGGUUCUCAACUUCUUUGAUCUCUAUAACCUUUUUUAGGUUCCUACAACUACUACUAUCUAAAACAUAUCGGUGUUUUAGAUCAUGGAUAUUGUGUUUUCUUUUGGCAUACUUAUCCUUUGUAGCUUGGUUAGCUGUUGAAUAUGGGAAGAGGCUUGGUCUAAUGGAUAUUUUCAGCAUCCAUAGAUAAUAGCAUUUUUUUUUUGGUGGAGAUAGAUCAUAGCACUUAAUUUUGACAAGUGCGAUGCCCUUUAAUUGUAACAUUAUAAUGGUAGAAGGUGACAUUCUUGUCCCAUGAAAAGUAACGGGCUGCUUCAUAUAGUUAUGUAUAGUACGAGUGAAAAUUAAAGAUGUAAUAGUUUGAUUUGGAUGAAAGGUCUUGUUCCGCCAUAGUAAUCGGAAAUAACAAAUCUAAGUUCAUG
This is a non-coding RNA of Arachis ipaensis, 616 nucleotides long. Lineage: Eukaryota; Viridiplantae; Streptophyta; Magnoliopsida; Fabales; Fabaceae. The record is from RefSeq and is a predicted model, not a curated record.